UACGGAGGGCGCGAGCGUUACCCGGAUUUACUGGGCGUAAAGGGCGUGUAGGCGGCUUGGGGCGUCCCAUGUGAAAGGCCACGGCUCAACUGUGGAGGAGCGUGGGAUACGCUCAGGCUAGACGGUGGGAGAGGGUGGUGGAAUUCCUGGAGUAGCGGUGAAAUGCGCAGAGACCGGGAGGAACGCCGAUGGCGAAGGCAGCCACCUGGUCCACAAGUGACGAUGAGGCGCGAAAGAGUGGGGAGCAAACCGG
Molecule: ribosomal RNA, 253 nt
Filed under: uncultured bacterium
Lineage: Bacteria
Description: partial 16S ribosomal RNA
Rfam family: Bacterial small subunit ribosomal RNA
Source: RNAcentral